Molecule: long non-coding RNA, 827 nt
Filed under: Serinus canaria (Common canary)
Lineage: Eukaryota; Metazoa; Chordata; Aves; Passeriformes; Fringillidae
Description: lncRNA (ENSSCAG00000000786.1)
Source: RNAcentral
GGACGCGCGACCGCCGCCCAGAGUCUCCGCCCCAGCUCCCUUCCUUCCCCUUCGGGCUGCUCCGUGCCCCGCUCAGGGCUCCCGGCCCCACCUUCCUGCUCAACAUCAGCUGAAAGGCUGUUCUGGCAAAACAUGCCCUCACGGGGACACAAUUGCUCAAGGAAAACAUUUCCCCUUCUUUUUCCUGGCACGGCUCUAGGCAGUUUCCCGAGCGGAGUAGUGACGAAAGCCAGAGGCUGUGGCCACUCGGGCAGUGACGACGGGACGCCCUUUGCCUCGGCUUUGCGGGCUCCAAGUGGGCCAUCCUUCACCUUCCCGACGGCAGAGUUGCAGCAGCUCGUCCUGGGAACGCUGUCCAGGCUGCAGGACCAGCCUCACGGAGCCACUCGGGAGCCCAAGGGUGUCCUGCUGCCCUGGUGCCUCCUCCUCGUGACCCCAUACAACCUAUGCACAUUUGUGUCCCAUCACUGGACUGACACCUUGGUUGUUGUUGGACAAACCCUGGUCUGCCCUACUUCCCUGGAGGAGUGUUUAUCCAGCUUAGUGUGUCUGCAGUAUCACAGAGGGGGCAGCAGCAACUGAGACAAUGUUUUCCAGGAAAACUGACACAAGCAGCACACAUUUGGAAGCUGAGGUGCCUCUGGAUGAGGAUCUACCCGAAUCUCCCUUUUUGAGAAGGCUCUGUGUGCACAGUGACCCCGAGGGAGCAGCUCCCUCUGCCGAUGUUUGUGCCCCAGAGACACGGCUCUCCUGGGAGCUGGAGCUUUCCAGAAGCCCACUUUUUUAUUUUUUUUAAUCGACUCUUAGAUUAAAAUGUCUUGAAGGAA